UCCUACGGGAGGCAGCAGUGAGGAAUCUUGCGCAAUGGAGGAAACUCUGACGCAGCCAGCCGCGUGCCGGAAGACGGCCCUACGGGUUGUAAACGGCUUUUGUUUGGGAAGAACUGGUGGGUUUCGACCUACCUUGACGGUACUGAAUGAAUAAGCACCGGCUAACUCCGUGCCAGCAGCCGCGGUAAUACGGAGGGUGCAAGCGUUGUCCGGAAUCAUUGGGUGUAAAGGGUGCGUAGGCGGGCACUUAAGUCUGGGGUGAAAUCUUGCCGCUUAACGGUAAAAUUGCCUUGGAUACUGAGUGUCUUGAAUCUGACAGAGGUUGGUGGAAUUCGUAGUGUAGCGGUGAAAUGCAUAGAUAUUACGAAGAACAUCGGUGGCGAAGGCGGCCGGCUGGGUCAGUAUUGACGCUGAGGCACGAGAGCGUGGGGAGCGAACAGGAUUAGAUACCCUGGUAGUCCACGCUGUAAACGAUGUAUGCUAGUUGUUGGGCCUUUGGGUUCAGUGACGCAGUUAACGCAGUAAGC
This 527-nucleotide ribosomal RNA is filed under the name uncultured bacterium. RNAcentral's name for it is "bacterial SSU rRNA". It matches the Rfam family "Bacterial small subunit ribosomal RNA", at positions 337 to 865 of the family's 1533-position model. The record is from RNAcentral.